RNAcentral lists this ribosomal RNA (301 nucleotides) under uncultured bacterium. Its description in RNAcentral is "partial 16S ribosomal RNA". It matches the Rfam family "Bacterial small subunit ribosomal RNA", at positions 509 to 809 of the family's 1533-position model. The record is from RNAcentral.
CAGCCGCCGCGGUAAUACGGAGGGGGCUAGCGUUAUUCGGAAUUACUGGGCGUAAAGCGCACGUAGGCGGCUUCGCAAGUCAGAGGUGAAAGCCUGGGGCUCAACUCCAGAAUUGCCUUUGAGACUGCGUCGCUCGAAUCCGGGAGAGGUGAGUGGAAUUCCGAGUGUAGAGGUGAGAUUCGUAGAUGUGGAGGAACACCAGUGGCGAAGGCGACUCUCUGGUCUGUAACUGACGCUGAGGAGCGAAAGCGUGGGGAGCGAACAGGAUUAGAUACCCGCGUAGUCCCUGUCUCUUAUACAC